Molecule: ribosomal RNA, 1497 nt
Filed under: Triticum aestivum (bread wheat)
Lineage: Eukaryota; Viridiplantae; Streptophyta; Magnoliopsida; Poales; Poaceae
Description: partial small subunit ribosomal RNA
Source: RNAcentral
AUGCUGCACGCGCCGCCGCCGCUGGAGGCGGCCGGGUCGCCCGUCGCGCACAGCCGCUGCCUCCUCCGCGACCUCGGCGGCCAUGGCGCGUUGCCGGCCGACCCCUCCACGCUCUACGGCGCCGACGCGGCCACCACCCAGUUCCUCCUCGAGAGGAUUCUGCGGGGGAGCGGCACCGCGCGCCGCCUCGUGACUUCCUCCUCCUCUCCAGGUUCCUCCUCGGUGGGCGCAGCGGACACCGACUCGGGCGAGCCCCAGGACCCGGCGGUGUCCGCCCCUGGCCUCGUUCCGGUCUCAGGCUCCCCGGAUCGCGCCGACCGCACCUCCGCAGCUAGCGGUCCAGGCACUUCGCCCGCCACCGCGCUCAACGAGCCCCUCGAAUCAGCCGAGGAAGUCGCCGCCAGCCGCCUGCCUGCUCUUCUAGGACCGGGAGGUCGCAUACUGAUCGUGGCCAAUCGGCUCCCCGUCACGGCCAAGCGCCUCGAAGACAACCAGUGGGAGUUGGUGACCAGUUCGGGCGGUCUCGUCAGCGCCCUGCAAGGUGUUAAAGAUGUGGAACGGAUGUUUGUCGGCUGGCCUGGCGUCAGCGUCACCGACGAGGACGGCCAAACAUCCAUCAAGAAAGAGCUACUUAAGAAGAGGUGCGUACCUGUGUUCCUGAGUGAGGAGUUAAGGGACCAGUACUACAGCGGGUACUGCAAUAACAUUCUAUGGCCGCUCUUCCAUUACUUGGGGCUUCCACAGGGGUACAAGGUCAAUAAGACAAAAGACUUUAAGUCACAGCUUAAGGCAUAUACUGAGGCAAACAAGAUGUUCGCGGAUACUCUGUGCGAAAUCUCUAAGGAAGGGGAUAUCAUAUGGUGCCAUGACUACCAUUUGAUGUUACUUCCCAAGUUAUUGAAGCAGUCCAACCUGAACAUGAAGGUGGGCUGGUUCCUGCACACACCGUUUCCCUCAUAUGAGGUUUACCAGGCAUUGCCGAACCGCAAAGAGCUGUUGCAGGCUGUGCUUGAAGCUGACUUAGUGGGGUUUCAUACGUACGAGUAUGCAAGGCACUUUGUGAGUGCUUGCACCAGUCUGCUGGGUCUUGAGGGUCGCCUUGGAGGCAUUAAGUUUAAAGGAAGGAUUGUUAAAGUGGAUGCUUUUCCGAUCGGGAUAGACGCUCAGCAUUUUAAAGAAUCUUUGGAUCUUAACGCAGUCAAAGGGGAAAUAACCGAAUUCAAAUCAGUUUUUGCUGGUCCAAAGGUAAUGCUUGGUGUUGAUCGGUUAGACAUGAUUAAAGGACUUCUGCAAAAGUUAUUGGCCUUUGAGAAAUUUCUUGAGGAGAACAAGGGUUGGGAAUCCAAAGUGGUCCUUGUGCAAAUUGCUGUGCCAACUAGAAGUGACGUACCUGAAUAUCAAGAGCUGAAAAGUCAAGUGCAUGAAAUGGUUGGACGUGUAAAUGGAAAAUUUGGAACGUUUAAAACGUACCCUAUUAUAUAUCUGAUGUGGCUCUGA